This 469-nucleotide ribosomal RNA is filed under the name uncultured bacterium. Its description in RNAcentral is "SSU rRNA". It matches the Rfam family "Bacterial small subunit ribosomal RNA", at positions 26 to 518 of the family's 1533-position model. The record is from RNAcentral.
AGGAUGAACGCUGGCGGCGUGCCUAACACAUGCAAGUCGAACGUCCUGUCUCGCAAGAGGCAGGGAGUGGCGGACGGGUGAGUACCACGUGGGUCAUCUACCGUGAGGUGAGGAAUACCGGCGAGAAAUCGCCGACAAGACCGCAUAGGCUCGAUGCAAGUCGAGCAAAGCUCUUUCGAGAGAGGGAGCGCCACACGAGGAGCCUGCGCCCGAUUAGCUAGCUGGUGGAGUAACGGUUCACCAGGGCGACGAUCGGUAGCUGGUCUGAGAGGACGAUCAGCCACACUGGGAUUGAGAACGGCCCAGGCUCCUACGGGGGGCAGCAGUGAGGAAUUUUCGUCAAUGGGGGCAACCCUGAACGAGCAACGCCGCGUGCAGGAAGAAGGUUUCGGAUCGUAAACUGCUUUUCUCGGGAAGAGAACGGACGGUACCGAGGAAUCAGCCCCGGCAACUACGUGCCAGCAGCCGC